This 596-nucleotide ribosomal RNA is filed under the name uncultured Bacteroidota bacterium. RNAcentral describes it as "bacterial SSU rRNA". It matches the Rfam family "Bacterial small subunit ribosomal RNA", at positions 122 to 715 of the family's 1533-position model. The record is from RNAcentral. Lineage: Bacteria; Pseudomonadati; Bacteroidota.
CAACCUACCUAUCAGAGGGGGAUAACCCGGCGAAAGUCGGACUAAUACCGCAUAAAACAGGGGCACCGCAUGGUGAUAUUUGUUAAAAAUUUAUUGCUGAUAGAUGGGCAUGCGUUCCAUUAGGUAGUUGGAGAGGUAACGGCUCACCAAGCCAACGAUGGAUAGGGGAACUGAGAGGUUGGUCCCCCACACUGGUACUGAGACACGGACCAGACUCCUACGGGAGGCAGCAGUGAGGAAUAUUGGUCAAUGGGCGAGAGCCUGAACCAGCCAAAUCGCGUGAAGGAAGAAGGAUCUAUGGUUCGUAAACUUCUUUUGCAGGGGAAUAAAGUGCAGGACGUGUCCUGUUUUGUAUGUACCCUGAGAAUAAGGAUCGGCUAACUCCGUGCCAGCAGCCGCGGUAAUACGGAGGAUCCGAGCGUUAUCCGGAUUUAUUGGGUUUAAAGGGUGCGUAGGUGGUUUAAUAAGUCAGCGGUGAAAGUUUGCAGCUUAACUGUAAAAAUGCCGUUGAAACUGUUAGACUUGAGUGUAAAUGAGGUAGGCGGAAUGCGUGGUGUAGCGGUGAAAUGCUUAGAUAUCACGAAGAACUCCGAUUG